RNAcentral lists this long non-coding RNA (365 nucleotides) under Androctonus crassicauda. Lineage: Eukaryota; Metazoa; Arthropoda; Arachnida; Scorpiones; Buthidae. The record is from RNAcentral.
AGUAACUCCUGAAAAGUUUUUUCGGGAUGCUGGGCCCGGUCCGGCCAUCCCCGUCCUUCACCAUCCAGCCUCCCUGCACGAGUGUGGGUGCAGCCCGUGGUUCGAACUGGCUUCGCCCCUUAGUAAUCUCCCUGAUUGGAAAGGGGCGUAAAAAAUUUGCAAAAAAAAAGAUCCGACUCCGACUCUACCUUUUCAAAGAAAUCCGACUCCAGCCAAAACCCUCCGACUCUGCAACCACGCAGGUCCGGUUCUAGAGGUGAUGCCGCCAUCGUGCCAUUUAAUUUUAGCCGUCCCCUCGUUUUCUAAACCAGCGUAUUUUAAAUUAAAAGUUUUCGCAAUUACGCAUUUUCCAUACUUAUAAAAGU